AUUGAACGCUGGCGGCAGGCCUAACACAUGCAAGUCGAACGAGUGGCGGACGGGUGAGUAAUGUCUGGGAAACUGCCUGCUGGAGGGGGAUAACUACUGGAAACGGUAGCUAAUACCGCAUAACAUCAGAUGUGCCCAGAUGGGAUUAGCUAGUUGGUGGGGUAACGGCGAACCAAGGCGACGAUCCCUAGCUGGUCUGAGAGGAUGACCUGCCACACGUGAACUGAGACCCGGUCCAGACUCCUACGGUAGGUAUCAUUGGGGAAUAUUGCACAAUGGGCGCAAGCCUGAUGCAGCCAUGCCGCGUGUAUGAAGAAGGCCUUCGGGUUGUAAAGUACUUUCAGCGGGGAGGCGUUACCCGCAGAAGAAGCACCGGCUAACUCCGUGCCAGCAGCCGCGGUAAUAC
RNAcentral lists this ribosomal RNA (406 nucleotides) under uncultured bacterium. Its description in RNAcentral is "partial 16S ribosomal RNA". It matches the Rfam family "Bacterial small subunit ribosomal RNA", at positions 30 to 526 of the family's 1533-position model. The record is from RNAcentral.